Molecule: non-coding RNA, 136 nt
Organism: Gossypium raimondii (Peruvian cotton)
Lineage: Eukaryota; Viridiplantae; Streptophyta; Magnoliopsida; Malvales; Malvaceae
Source: Rfam
UGUUAAAAUUUUCAUUCAUUUUUACUAUUAAAAAUUGAAAAAAUAACCAAACAAUAACACAUGACGUGCCAUGUAUAUCUCAUACUGACGUACAGAGACCAAUUUUUAUCAAAAGAAAUUGAUGAAAUUUUUAACA